RNAcentral lists this ribosomal RNA (499 nucleotides) under uncultured bacterium. RNAcentral's name for it is "bacterial SSU rRNA". It matches the Rfam family "Bacterial small subunit ribosomal RNA", at positions 995 to 1498 of the family's 1533-position model. The record is from RNAcentral.
CAGCCUUUGAAAUGGGUUUCUUUUUGAGGCGGGAGACAGUGCUCCAUGGCUGUCUCAGCUGUGUCGUGAGAUGUUGGGUUAAGUCCCGCAACGAGCGCAACCCCUGUCCCAUGUUGCCAACGGGUAGAGCUGGGCACUCUUUGGAGACCGCCGGUGUCAAACCGGAGGAAGGUGGGGAUGACGUCAAGUCCUCAUGGCCCUUAUGCCCAGGGCUACACACGUACUACAAUGGCCGGUACAGAGAGAAGCGAACCCGCGAGGGGGAGCCAACCUCAAAAAGCCGGUCUCAGUUCGGAUUGGAGUUUGCAACUCGACUCCAUGAAGGCGGAAUCGCUAGUAAUCGCGGAUCAGCACGCCGCGGUGAAUCCGUUCCCGGGCCUUGUACACACCGCCCGUCACACCAUGAGAGUCGCUUGUACCAGAAGUGCGUGGGCCAACCCGCAAGGGGGGCAGCGUACCAAGGUAUGGGCGGUGAUUGGGGUGAAGUCGUAACAAGGUA